AAAAGGACUCUCGGCAACGGAUAUCUCGGCUCUCGCAUCGAUGAAGAACGUAGCGAAAUGCGAUACUUGGUGUGAAUUGCAGAAUCCCGUGAACCAUCGAGUCUUUGAACGCAAGUGGCGCCCGAAGCCUUCCGGCCGAGGGCACGCCUGCCUGGGUGUCAUGC
Molecule: ribosomal RNA, 164 nt
Filed under: Turnera lanceolata
Lineage: Eukaryota; Viridiplantae; Streptophyta; Magnoliopsida; Malpighiales; Passifloraceae
Description: 5.8S ribosomal RNA
Rfam family: 5.8S ribosomal RNA
About the family: 5.8S ribosomal RNA (5.8S rRNA) is a component of the large subunit of the eukaryotic ribosome.
Source: RNAcentral